RNAcentral lists this transfer RNA (77 nucleotides) under Candidatus Saccharibacteria bacterium RIFCSPHIGHO2_12_FULL_48_21. RNAcentral's name for it is "tRNA-Arg". It matches the Rfam family "tRNA". From Rfam's summary of the family: Transfer RNA (tRNA) molecules are approximately 80 nucleotides in length. The record is from RNAcentral. RNAcentral also lists the same sequence under 2 other names. Lineage: Bacteria; Candidatus Saccharimonadota.
GCGCGUGUAGCUCAGCUGGAUAGAGCGUUGGCUUGCGGAGCCAAAGGUCGUAGGUUCAAAUCCUGCCACGCGUACCA